Vespa mandarinia (Asian giant hornet) is the source of this 697-nucleotide long non-coding RNA. The record is from RefSeq and is a predicted model, not a curated record. NCBI's taxonomy places the organism in Eukaryota, Metazoa, Arthropoda, Insecta, Hymenoptera, Vespidae.
UUCAAACACGUAAUAUAAUAUAAGAAGGGAUGGAUAAAUGAAGAAAGAUAGAAAUCUUUUAGACUUUUUUUUUGCUAAAAAAGAAGCUUAAUCAGCUCGAUUUUACGUCACGUUCUUCCACUGGGUAUAAGUAGAAAUUGUAAAAGAUCUAUAUAGAUUGUGGAACAGAGGCUGAGAAAUAUUUAACGUUCUCCUUGGUGUCCGAGCUUCGAGUAUGACCGAGAGGAAAUUACCACACACACUAGAGCUUUUUUCUCAACGAGUAUUGUGACGAUACCAUAACACGACUUUACAUCGGUACAAAUAGAGGUCGUCGUAAACCACUUUGCGUCGUAGUCAUGGACACCGCGCAAGCGCUUGUAAGCUCUCUCAUCGUAUUCACCCUACCCUUUUGUAGGGUACAUAUGUGUACAUGCAUACAUACGUACUCUAUAUAUGCUUACGUUAAUGGACGGAGCUUUCGGAGUGUUUGUAUGUAUUUGAGCAUCCCCAUUCUAAACUAUAGUUAGGCAUGCGUGAGUGUACAAGUUCAAUGUCAAGUUCUCCCUGCUGUCGGCAUGCGACUAUUCUGGAACAAAGCUUACUGCGAAAGUCUAGAGAUCUAUUAUAACUGUCUAGGUAUUUAAUUGAAAUUGUUAAUGAGAUCUUGUUCUUGACUUUUUUUUUUCUUUCUGUGAUUAUUAUACGUAUCUACAUU